ANCNUGUGGGGAUGUUGAAUGGGAAGAGGACCUUCCGGCAGUCUUUGACUUGUCUCGAGGUAUGAACCUUCCCGUGCUUUUUAGAACAUAGAUGGCACCAGUCAGGUGACUAUCGAAACGUAAUACGCCGCGAUGACUUCGGUCACGACGGUAUGGCGAGCUUUCGCCGUCCACGUUUCUCUUUCUUCAAGAAGACAAAAAACCGCGUCGACCGGUUCCCCGAAUGGGCCCGUAGCUCAUGUUGGUUAGAUACACGCUUGAUAAGCGCGGGGCCGGAAGUUCAAGUCUUCCCGGGCCCACCAUUUGCACCGGCAAAUGAAAUUUGCUGUAGCAAUGAGGGUUGAGGGAUGAUGGAAUGUUGGACGAUGCGAUUGUUGCCGAACCUUGGGGUCUUGUCCCUGGGUGAUCGAGCUGGAGGGCUGUAGCUCACUGGGAGAGCACCUGCUUUGCAAGCAGGGGGUCAGCGGUUCAUCCCGCUCACUCACCAAAUCGAUUGGUGUUGAACUGACGGCAUUUGUCUUUUGAGAAUAAAGUUUGCAUCGGCUUAUGGCUGGUGCGUGUUCUGCAUACUGUGAAGAGAAGAUUGAUCUGGAGGCUUCCAUGUGUCGUGGGUUUUUAUCCAUGAUGUCCGACCCAGUUCCUGUGAAACGGCACGGCCGGAUGGGUGAGGGAUUGAGGUGAAGAACUUGUCACUCUGGAAUUGUUGUUCUGCUUGGAUCGUCUGAGAACAUCGGAUCGUUGCCUGACUAUUCUCGAAGCGGUCUUAAACAGUGCCGAGCUGCUCCCAAAAUACAAUGGCAUCAUGAAACGAUCCGGUUGUAAAAGGUAACCGGAUUUUUGGACUGGCCGCACGGCAAUCGCAAGGUUGUCCGGAUGGUCAGAUUUGGCACCCACGAGGCGUAUGCCGAGUGAUAAGGUCUGCCAAAUCCAAAUAUGGAUGAGCAUUGGCAAUGAGAACGAUUAAGUGUCGUAAGGGCAUUUGGUGGAUGCCUUGGCAUGCACAGGCGAUGAAGGACGUGAUACGCUGCGAAAAGCCGUGGGGAGCUGCGAAAUUAGCCUUAUAAACCAGGC
RNAcentral lists this unclassified non-coding RNA (1071 nucleotides) under Rhizobium sp. CCBAU 83457. RNAcentral describes it as "partial contains 16S ribosomal RNA, 16S-23S ribosomal RNA intergenic spacer, and 23S ribosomal RNA". The stretch from base 959 to 1071 matches the Rfam family "Bacterial large subunit ribosomal RNA", at positions 1 to 110 of the family's 2925-position model. Lineage: Bacteria; Pseudomonadati; Pseudomonadota; Alphaproteobacteria; Hyphomicrobiales; Rhizobiaceae. The record is from RNAcentral.